CACUGUGGAAGCUUUGUUCUUUUUUGCUCUUUGCAAUAAAUCUUGCUGCUGCUCACUCUUUGGGUCCACACUGCUUUUACGAGCUGUAACACUUACCGCGAAGGUUUGCAGCUUCACUCCUUAAGCCAGCGAGACCAGGAGCCCACUGGGAGGAAGAACAACUCCAGACGCGCCUCCUUAAGAGCUGUAACACUCACCAUGAAGGUCUGCAGCUUCACUCCUGAGCCAGGGAGACCACGAACCCACCGGAAGGAAGAAACUCCGAACACAUCCGAACAUCAGAAGGAACAAACUCCAGAGGCGCCACCUUAAGAGCUGUAACACUCACCGCAAGUGUCACCGGCUUCAUUCUUGAUGAGAAGGCUUCCACUGCACUACUGGAAGAAACCAUUGCUUUGGGAAUUUUCUAUCCUGCAGCCCUCAGCAACCCUCUGCUGGAAUGCUGCCACUAUGACUGCUAGAGACACUUCAUGGAAGCCCACAGGACAUGUCACCUUUUCUCAUGGGCUCAUUUCAUGGGCCAGGCACGAGCUUCUGUUCAUUCCACCUAUGGGUUUGAAGGUCAACUCUGCAGCACCUGUUUAAUCUCUAGAAAAGAUGCUGAUAAAACUUGGAAAUGUUGUAGCUCAGGUAUCUUCAUUAUAAUUGAAGCCACCUUUGCAAAAAGUAUGACAGUGAGAGAAACGUGACAUAGAAAAAUUAUGAUAGGGAAAGAAAUAUCACCUAACUGAUUCCAUCUUGCUUCUGACCUCCAAGCUGCCUUUGUUCAUUCCUGGGCAUAGGCCAACCUAACCAUGGAGAAAUUUAAUUUAUAGUUUGACUUUCAAUCAAGGAUGAUAAGAGUCCCUUUCUAAAACUGACCUCCUCCUUGUCCCAGUACUGACACCACCUUUGUAAGACCCAUGAAAGGCCACGGAGAUUGGGAUUAUAGGAGGGGUCUGAAUUCUGCUAAGAUGUAGGCAUAGUUAAAUAAUAACCCACCAUUGUUCCAUAGCUUGCUUGCUUAUAAUCCCUAAUCACUCAGGAUUCUUGAAGCCAGAGGUCACAAGAUUUAUGACUUCUCCAAUUGCUCAUAUAGAUAACAUCACUAUUGUAGAACCUAAGGGGGGCCUUUUGAGAUGUUUUCCAGACUUUUGCAUUCUUACAACUAACUCCAUUUGGACCCAUGACUCAUGACUCAACCAGUCGUGUGGUCCCCACCUAAGGGCUGACUCAGCUCAUGAGGACUGUUUUCCACACCCCUAUGAUUUUAUCUCCAACCAAUAAGCAGCAACCACUGCUUAGCCCCUCCCAGGCAAAUUAUCCAUGAAAACCCUAGCUUCCAAGCUUUCAGGGAGACUGAUCUGAGUAAUAAACUCCUAUCUCC
This 1366-nucleotide long non-coding RNA is filed under the name Homo sapiens (human). Its description in RNAcentral is "HSALNT0175175". Lineage: Eukaryota; Metazoa; Chordata; Mammalia; Primates; Hominidae. The record is from RNAcentral.